GCCUGGGUGGCUCAGUCAGUUGAGCAUCCGACUUUGGCUCAGGUCAUGAUUUCGUGGUUCGUGGGUUCAAGCCCGCGUCAGGCU
This 84-nucleotide transfer RNA is filed under the name Felis catus (domestic cat). It matches the Rfam family "tRNA". Rfam says of the family: Transfer RNA (tRNA) molecules are approximately 80 nucleotides in length. Their secondary structure includes four short double-helical elements and three loops (D, anti-codon, and T loops). The record is from Rfam by way of RNAcentral. RNAcentral also lists the same sequence under 3 other names. Lineage: Eukaryota; Metazoa; Chordata; Mammalia; Carnivora; Felidae.